RNAcentral lists this ribosomal RNA (217 nucleotides) under Cupriavidus sp. L7L. RNAcentral's name for it is "partial 23S ribosomal RNA". It matches the Rfam family "Bacterial large subunit ribosomal RNA", at positions 1 to 215 of the family's 2925-position model. The record is from RNAcentral. Lineage: Bacteria; Pseudomonadati; Pseudomonadota; Betaproteobacteria; Burkholderiales; Burkholderiaceae.
GUUAUAGGGUCAAGCGAACAAGUGCAUGUGGUGGAUGCCUUGGCGAUCACAGGCGAUGAAGGACGCGGUAGCCUGCGAAAAGCUUCGGGGAGCUGGCAAACAAGCUUUGAUCCGGAGAUGUCCGAAUGGGGAAACCCGGCCCGUAUGGGUCAUCCCACACUGAAUCCAUAGGUGUGGGAAGCGAACGCGGCGAACUGAAACAUCUAAGUAGCUGCAG